This 75-nucleotide transfer RNA is filed under the name Candidatus Altimarinota bacterium. Its description in RNAcentral is "tRNA-Arg". It matches the Rfam family "tRNA". From Rfam's summary of the family: Transfer RNA (tRNA) molecules are approximately 80 nucleotides in length. Their secondary structure includes four short double-helical elements and three loops (D, anti-codon, and T loops). The record is from RNAcentral. Lineage: Bacteria; Candidatus Altimarinota.
GCGCCCAUAGUUCAACGGAUAGAAUGCAAGCUUGCGGAGCUUGAGAUUUAGGUUCGAUUCCUAAUGGGCGCACCA